This 794-nucleotide ribosomal RNA is filed under the name uncultured bacterium. RNAcentral's name for it is "bacterial SSU rRNA". It matches the Rfam family "Bacterial small subunit ribosomal RNA", at positions 8 to 796 of the family's 1533-position model. The record is from RNAcentral.
AGAGUUUGAUCCUGGCUCAGAUUGAACGCUGGCAGCAGGCUUAACACAUGCAAGUCGAGCGGGGAAGAGUAGCUUGCUACUUUACCUAGCGGCGGACGGGUGAGUAAUGCUUAGGAAUCUGCCUAUUAGUGGGGGACAACAUCUCGAAAGGGAUGCUAAUACCGCAUACGCCCUACGGGAGAAAGCAGGGGACCUUCGGGCCUUGCGCUAAUAGAUGAGCCUAAGUCGGAUUAGCUAGUUGGUGGGGUAAAGGCCUACCAAGGCGACGAUCUGUAGCGGGUCUGAGAGGAUGAUCCGCCACACUGGGACUGAGACACGGCCCAGACUCCUACGGGAGGCAGCAGUGGGGAAUAUUGGACAAUGGGGGGAACCCUGAUCCAGCCAUGCCGCGUGUGUGAAGAAGGCCUUUUGGUUGUAAAGCACUUUAAGCGAGGAGGAGGCUACCGAGAUUAAUACUCUUGGAUAGUGGACGUUACUCGCAGAAUAAGCACCGGCUAACUCUGUGCCAGCAGCCGCGGUAAUACAGAGGGUGCAAGCGUUAAUCGGAUUUACUGGGCGUAAAGCGCGCGUAGGUGGCCAAUUAAGUCAAAUGUGAAAUCCCCGAGCUUAACUUGGGAAUUGCAUUCGAUACUGGUUGGCUAGAGUAUGGGAGAGGAUGGUAGAAUUCCAGGUGUAGCGGUGAAAUGCGUAGAGAUCUGGAGGAAUACCGAUGGCGAAGGCAGCCAUCUGGCCUAAUACUGACACUGAGGUGCGAAAGCAUGGGGAGCAAACAGGAUUAGAUACCCUGGUAGUCC